RNAcentral lists this ribosomal RNA (478 nucleotides) under Chloroflexota bacterium. RNAcentral describes it as "Chloroflexi bacterium partial 23S ribosomal RNA". It matches the Rfam family "Bacterial large subunit ribosomal RNA", at positions 2452 to 2925 of the family's 2925-position model. Lineage: Bacteria; Bacillati; Chloroflexota. The record is from RNAcentral.
ACGGAUAAAAGCUACCCCGGGGAUAACAGGCUUAUCUUGCCCAAGAGUUCACAUCGACGGCAAGGUUUGGCACCUCGAUGUCGGCUCGUCGCAUCCUGGGGCUGGAGUAGGUCCCAAGGGUUGGGCUGUUCGCCCAUUAAAGCGGUACGCGAGCUGGGUUUAGAACGUCGUGAGACAGUUCGGUCCCUAUCCGCCGUGGGCGCAGGAGAUUUGAGGGGAGCUGACCUUAGUACGAGAGGACCGGGUCGGACGGACCGCUAGUGUACCGGUUGUUCCGCCAGGAGCACCGCCGGGUAGCCAUGUCCGGAUGGGAUAAGCGCUGAAAGCAUCUAAGUGCGAAGCCCACCCCAAGAUGAGAUCUCCCACCGGGUCAACCGGGUAAGACCCCAGCGAGACCAGCUGGUUGAUAGGCCGCAGGUGUACGAGCGGCAACGCUUUGAGCUGAGCGGUACUAAUCGGUCGAGGGCUUGACCUCUCC